GGCGGUCUUCGGUAGUGGCUGCCGGAACCCCAUUGGCGGGUCCAUCCGGCCGCUUCGAUCGACGGCCGUA
This 70-nucleotide non-coding RNA is filed under the name Mycolicibacterium senegalense. RNAcentral's name for it is "Actino-pnp". It matches the Rfam family "Actino-pnp RNA". Lineage: Bacteria; Bacillati; Actinomycetota; Actinomycetes; Mycobacteriales; Mycobacteriaceae. The record is from RNAcentral.